CCUACGGGAGGCAGCAGUGGGGAAUAUUGCACAAUGGGGGAAACCCUGAUGCAGCAACGCCGCGUGAAGGAAGACGGUUUUCGGAUUGUAAACUUCUUUUGCCGGGGAGCAACGGGCGCCACGUGUGGCGUCACUGAGAGUACCCGGAGAAAAAGCAUCGGCUAACUCCGUGCCAGCAGCCGCGGUAAUACGGAGGAUGCGAGCGUUAUCCGGAUUUAUUGGGUUUAAAGGGUGCGUAGGCGGAUCGUUAAGUCAGUGGUCAAAUUGAGGGGCUCAACCCCUUCCCGCCAUUGAAACUGGCGUUCUUGAGUGGAAGAGAAGUAUGCGGAAUGCGUGGUGUAGCGGUGAAAUGCAUAGAUAUCACGCAGAACCCCGAUUGCGAAGGCAGCAUGCCGGCUUCCGACUGACGCUGAAGCACGAAAGCGUGGGGAUCGAACAGGAUUAGAUACCCUUGUAGUC
RNAcentral lists this ribosomal RNA (459 nucleotides) under uncultured bacterium. RNAcentral describes it as "partial 16S ribosomal RNA". It matches the Rfam family "Bacterial small subunit ribosomal RNA", at positions 338 to 795 of the family's 1533-position model. The record is from RNAcentral.